GACAGUUCUCAGUGACUUCCAACAAUCAAGUGCCAGUGACACUCUGUGAUUUCAGAAGUUAGGUCACAGAAGACACUGUCCGUCUUUUCUAUUCUUACACUGCCAGCUCUGGAAGAAGCCAGCUUCUAUGUUGGGAGGAUACUGAAGCAGCCAAUCGUCAGGUCCACAUGGUAAGAAGCAAAGUUUCUUGGAACUGCUCUGAGCCAGCCAUCACGAAGUGGGUUGCCUGGCCCAUUAGAUCUUAGGUGACUGUAAUUUCUGUUAGUGUUUGGACAGUCUCCAGAGAGACCCCUGGGCCAGAGAACCCAGCUCUGCUGCCCCUAGAUUCUUUUUUUUUUUUUAUGACGUAGAAAACUGAAAACACUGAAGACAAAGAGGAUCUUGAAAGUAGCCAGAGAGAAAAGAUUGUCCACACAGCAAUGAAUAUUCUAACACCAGUUCUUUUUUCAACAGAGACAGUGGAAGCCAAGGAGACUAUGGGAUGGCAGCUUUGAACCACUGUGUGAAAAGGACUAUCAAGUUGAACUCUGAUCCUUCCAAGGGUGACGGUAAAAAUAAAGACAAUGAAAAAUGUUUUAAAAUAUUAAACAACUGGCUACCAAGAACACUUACCAAAGGAAUUUAUUAAGUUGCACACCAGGAAGGAAGAAAAUAUUAACAGGAGAUUUUAAAGUCCAAGAAUAAACCAUGAAGAGAGCAAAUGACAGAUAUUUAAAUAUUGGUUGUCUAAAAUGAUAGUAAGUGCAUUUGUUGUUAAAUUAAACAUCAUUUAAAAAUGC
This 779-nucleotide long non-coding RNA is filed under the name Mus musculus (house mouse). RNAcentral's name for it is "long non-coding RNA chr3:105097569-105098348". The record is from RNAcentral. Lineage: Eukaryota; Metazoa; Chordata; Mammalia; Rodentia; Muridae.